CAGGACGAACGCUGGCGGCGUGCCUUAGACAUGCAAGUCGAGCGAGAACUUCGGUUCUAGCGGCAAACGGCGCAGUAAUACGUAAGCAACGUGCCCCCAAGACUGGGACAGUCCGGGGAAACCCGGUUUAAUACCAGAUGUGGCCGUUCUUCCGCCUGGAAGAGCGAUUAAAGGACUUCGGUCGCUUAGGGAGCGGCUUACGACCUAUCAGGUAGUUGGUGAGGUAACGGCUCACCAAGCCUACGACGGGUAGCGGGUCUGAGAGGAUGAUCCGCGCGAGUGGGACUGAGACACGGCCCACACACCUACGGGUGGCAGCAGUUUGGAAUAUUGCACAAUGGGGGAAACCCUGAUGCAGCGACGCCGCGUGGGGGAUGACGGAUUUCGGUCUGUAAACCCCUUUUGCCAGGAAAGACUUAGGACGGUACCUGGCGAAUAAGCCCCGGCUAACUACGUGCCAGCAGCCGCGGUAAUACGUAGGGGGCGAGCGUUGUCCGGAUUUACUGGGCGUAAAGGGCGCGCAGGCGGCCUGUUAAGUGUGAAGUGAAAUCUCCCGGCUCAACCAGGAAAUUGCUUUGCAUACUGGCAGGCUAGAGAAAGGCAGAGGUAGAUGGAAUUCCCGGUGUAGCGGUGACAUGCGUUGAUAUCGGGAGGAACACCAAUGGCGAAGGCAGUCUACUGGGCCUCUUCUGACGCUCAGGCGCGA
This 706-nucleotide ribosomal RNA is filed under the name uncultured organism. RNAcentral's name for it is "bacterial SSU rRNA". It matches the Rfam family "Bacterial small subunit ribosomal RNA", at positions 25 to 756 of the family's 1533-position model. The record is from RNAcentral.